This 253-nucleotide ribosomal RNA is filed under the name uncultured bacterium. RNAcentral describes it as "partial 16S ribosomal RNA". It matches the Rfam family "Bacterial small subunit ribosomal RNA", at positions 524 to 776 of the family's 1533-position model. The record is from RNAcentral.
UACAGAGGUCCCAAGCGUUGUUCGGAUUCACUGGGCGUAAAGGGUGCGUAGGCGGUCGGGUAAGUCUGAUGUGAAAUCUCACAGCUUAACUGUGAAACUGCAUUGGAUACUAUCCGGCUCGAGGAAUGGAGGGGAGACUGGAAUACUUGGUGUAGCAGUGAAAUGCGUAAAUAUCAAGUGGAACACCAGUGGCGAAGGCGAGUCUCUGGACAUUUCCUGACGCUGAGGCACGAAAGCCAGGGGAGCAAACAGG